CAGUCGCCGCGGUAAUACGAAGGUCCCAAGCGUUGUUCGGAAUCACUGGGCGUAAAGGGAGCGUAGGCGGCGUGGUAAGUCAGAUGUGAAGUCCCGGGGCUCAACCCCGGAACUGCAUCCGAUACUGCCAUGCUUGAGGGUUGGAGAGGUAGCUGGAAUUCUCGGUGUAGCAGUGAAAUGCGUGGAUAUCGAGAGGAACACUCGUGGCGAAGGCGAGCUACUGGACAACAUCUGACGCUGAGGCUCGAAGGCUAGGGUAGCGAAAGGGAUUAGAUACCCCCGUAGUCCCUGUCUCUUAUAC
This 301-nucleotide ribosomal RNA is filed under the name uncultured bacterium. RNAcentral's name for it is "partial 16S ribosomal RNA". It matches the Rfam family "Bacterial small subunit ribosomal RNA", at positions 509 to 807 of the family's 1533-position model. The record is from RNAcentral.